Molecule: unclassified non-coding RNA, 22 nt
Filed under: Chlamydomonas reinhardtii
Lineage: Eukaryota; Viridiplantae; Chlorophyta; Chlorophyceae; Chlamydomonadales; Chlamydomonadaceae
Description: small RNA Cre_0523
Source: RNAcentral
AGGAGGAGGAGUACGCCGCUGC